GUUAAUCGGGGCAGGGUGAGUCGACCCCUAAGGCGAGGCCGAAAGGCGUAGUCGAUGGGAAACGGGUUAAUAUUCCCGUACUUGGUGUUACUGCGAAGGGGGGACGGAGAAGGCUAUGUUGGCCGGGCGACGGUUGUCCCGGUUUAAGCGUGUAGGUGUGUGUUCCAGGUAAAUCCGGUUCACUUUAACACUGAGGCGUGAUGACGAGGCACUACGGUGCUGAAGCAACAAAUGCCCUGCUUCCAGGAAAAGCCUCUAAGCAUCAGGUAACAUCAAAUCGUACCCCAAACCGACACAGGUGGUCAGGUAGAGAAUACCAAGGCGCUUGAGAGAACUCGGGUGAAGGAACUAGGCAAAAUGGUGCCGUAACUUCGGGAGAAGGCACGCUGACACGUAGGUGAAGUGAUUUACUCAUGGAGCUGAAGUCAGUCGAAGAUACCAGCUGGCUGCAACUGUUUAUUAAAAACACAGCACUGUGCAAACACGAAAGUGGACGUAUACGGUGUGACGCCUGCCCGGUGCCGGAAGGUUAAUUGAUGGGGUCAGCGCAAGCGAAGCUCCUGAUCGAAGCCCCGGUAAACGGCGGCCGUAACUAUAACGGUCCUAAGGUAGCGAAAUUCCUUGUCGGGUAAGUUCCGACCUGCACGAAUGGCGUAAUGAUGGCCAGGCUGUCUCCACCCGAGACUCAGUGAAAUUGAACUCGCUGUGAAGAUGCAGUGUACCCGCGGCAAGACGGAAAGACCCCGUGAACCUUUACUAUAGCUUGACACUGAACAUUGAGCCUUGAUGUGUAGGAUAGGUGGGAGGCUUUGAAGUGUGGACGCCAGUCUGCAUGGAGCCGACCUUGAAAUACCACCCUUUAAUGUUUGAUGUUCUAACGUGGACCCGUGAUCCGGGUUGCGGACAGUGUCUGGUGGGUAGUUUGACUGGGGCGGUCUCCUCCUAAAGAGUAACGGAGGAGCACGAAGGUUGGCUAAUCCUGGUCGGACAUCAGGAGGUUAGUGCAAUGGCAUAAGCCAGCUUGACUGCGAGCGUGACGGCGCGAGCAGGUGCGAAAGCAGGUCAUAGUGAUCCGGUGGUUCUGAAUGGAAGGGCCAUCGCUCAACGGAUAAAAGGUACUCCGGGGAUAACAGGCUGAUACCGCCCAAGAGUUCAUAUCGACGGCGGUGUUUGGCACCUCGAUGUCGGCUCAUCACAUCCUGGGGCUGAAGUAGGUCCCAAGGGUAUGGCUGUUCGCCAUUUAAAGUGGUACGCGAGCUGGGUUUAGAACGUCGUGAGACAGUUCGGUCCCUAUCUGCCGUGGGCGCUGGAGAACUGAGGGGGGCUGCUCCUAGUACGAGAGGACCGGAGUGGACGCAUCACUGGUGUUCGGGUUGUCAUGCCAAUGGCACUGCCCGGUAGCUAAAUGCGGAAGAGAUAAGUGCUGAAAGCAUCUAAGCACGAAACUUGCCCCGAGAUGAGUUCUCCCUGAGACUUUAGGUCUCCUGAAGGAACGUUGAAGACGACGACGUUGAUAGGCCGGGUGUGUAAGCGCAGCGAUGCGUUGAGCUAACCGGUACUAAUGAACCGUGAGGCUUAACCUU
Molecule: ribosomal RNA, 1583 nt
Filed under: Salmonella enterica
Lineage: Bacteria; Pseudomonadati; Pseudomonadota; Gammaproteobacteria; Enterobacterales; Enterobacteriaceae
Description: partial 23S ribosomal RNA
Rfam family: Bacterial large subunit ribosomal RNA
Source: RNAcentral